GAAAUGCUGAAUACAACAGGUGUAGUACACCUCACAGUGUAAUGCUGAAUACAACAGGUGUAGUAGACCUCACAGUGAAAUGCUGAAUACAACAGGUGUAGUAGACCUCACAGUGAAAUGCUGAAUACAACAGGUGUAGUAGACCUUACAGUGAAAUGCUGAAUACAACAGGUGUUAGACCUCACAGUGAAAUGCUGAGUACAACAGGUGUAGUAGACCUCACAGUGAAAUGCUGAAUACAACAGGUGUAGUAGACCUCACAGUGAAAUGCUGAAUACAACAGGUGUAGUAGACCUCACAGUGAAAUGCUGAGUACAACAGGUGUAGUAGACCUCACAGUGAAAUGCUGAAUACAAC
RNAcentral lists this long non-coding RNA (357 nucleotides) under Salmo salar (Atlantic salmon). RNAcentral describes it as "lncRNA (ENSSSAG00000086544.1)". The record is from RNAcentral. Lineage: Eukaryota; Metazoa; Chordata; Actinopteri; Salmoniformes; Salmonidae.